Molecule: non-coding RNA, 652 nt
Organism: Schizosaccharomyces pombe (fission yeast)
Lineage: Eukaryota; Fungi; Ascomycota; Schizosaccharomycetes; Schizosaccharomycetales; Schizosaccharomycetaceae
Source: the annotation of a GenBank genome assembly
ACCAAAAGGAAUAGAUCGGAAACAAACAUAUGCUUAUCGCUACUGUCAGUACAAUAUAACUUAUUGUUUUAUUUAUUAAUUAAUAUGAGCUAAAAGUUUCGUAAUAAGUUGAUUGCCAUUGUAUAAGAUAUACAAAGUUUUAUGUUUACGGGUUUGACUAAGUAGUACACUCUCUUUUGAAAGGUUAAAAAUGACUAAAAUCCUCUUACAAAAAAAUUUUUCUAAGUACUAUUUUGCCUUGCAUGCUAUUGAAAUUGAUUUACAAGUGUCGUGGAAGGGUUUUUGAACAAAUGAUGGUUCUUGUCAGAUACUAAUAGUGUACAAAUUUAUCAUAUAACAUACUCGCUUUCAUUUCAAAAAUAGAUCAUUCCUAGGUGUUGGCAUGUAUUUUGAAAACGCUUUCUGUUGAAAUUCGAAAUAGCCUUUUCCCCACAAUGAAAGUAGUGCUGUACAAUUUUGGUUGCGGUCUUAGGAUUUUUAAGAUAUGUUUAUCCAUUGCACCAACUGUAAAUAUGGAGAAACAUAAGUAUGCAGCUCUUGGAGCAUGUCUAUCGUCAUCUUCCAAUUUAUAGCAAAAUUGGGUGUAUCAAUUACUUCUGCAAUCCUGUAUCUUGUGUAUCCGUACAUCUAAACCGCAAACUUGGAAUAUUCA